UCAGUCAGUCUGUUUUUACCACUGUUAACACUGGUGCCUGGUGGAGCCUGAGGAGGGGGUUUUGGUAGAGAGGAGUUGUGGGACAGUCUAGGACUCUGGUUACUGAUAACAAAGAGGGAGAUUCUGUUAAGAUUCAGGUUGUGUCACCUAAAUGAAUCCAUGGUCUUUUGAUGUUCUUAGAGUUCUCGAACCUUACGAACAGUGCUGAAAAACCAUCUCUCUGUUCUCUGUUCACUUGGGGGAUGGUGAGGGCAGAGGACCCCAUUGACAGAUGCACAGACUUCUAACCACAGGUUUUCAAGUAUUGUCAUGUACGAAGAACAAUUUUGUCACAUUUGCCAUUUGCUCUGUGCUCCUACGCAGGCGUAGGGGUUCAAAACCACAAGAGGGGUUGGAGGAGUACUGCUAUGCCUAAUGCGUGUGUUUCUGCAUGUUCAGCAAUGAUGUGAUGAUGUGAUGAUGUGAUGAUGGAGGCGUGUACAAGCUUCAAUAAAAUGUUGUGCUUUGGUGAAGUUCGUUGGAGUUGGUUGGUCUCUGAGUGAAGCGCUUACAACGCUAAGAUCUCAGGCGAGCUCCCCUUGGCCAAGUAAAAUCUCUGGUUGGCUCUCAGUGUGCUAUAUUGUUCUCGUCUCUGUGUAUCAGUGCUGUUGUGGUAUUUUCAGACCCAACAGUGUUAUUAGAAAACAAUGUUUUAAUACCAGAUUUAACAUCAGCUCCUGUCCAAUAGGGAGAAUGUGGAUUUGUGGACUUGUGGACGCUACAGUGACAUCAGGUCAUAGUAGCAUCGAAGCCUUUUUUAUUUUACCAUUGGAGCAAAACAGGAGAACUUUAUGGAGGACUUUUAUUGUAAAUGGACUGGUGCCGGCACCGCUGAUUGUUCAAGUGUGGACAACAAUUCAGGGUGUAUUUAAUGCUGAAGAGGUCUGUUCCUACGAUACGUGAUCCACUCGCUGCUUCUUCAAACGUAUGAAUACAUACAUAUAUUUACACUACAUUCAAAUCUUUCAGCAGUGUCGUCCGUCAGAUAAGCCCUAAUUUCAAUAUUGCAGUACUUACAGUGAGCUUUGACUCAUCUCCUGUUGGUUUGAGCUCAGACUCACUCUCCACUCGUUUUCUUAUAUUUGACCUCAUUUGGCGUUUAAAUAGAACAAAAAGUUCCAUUUCGUAUUCAACCUGUACUUAAGAACAGAUGAAGCCAGAGAGAAGCUUCCUUAGGAGCUGGUGUCUUUUAUUUCCCACAGGGAGAGCUGUUAAACCAACACUGAGUCUGAGUGAGGCUCUGACUCCUGCUCAUCUUCAUUUAGUGCUAAUAAAACACAUCAAACAUCUUCUAACA
This 1336-nucleotide long non-coding RNA is filed under the name Betta splendens (Siamese fighting fish). RNAcentral's name for it is "lncRNA (ENSBSLG00000017599.1)". Lineage: Eukaryota; Metazoa; Chordata; Actinopteri; Anabantiformes; Osphronemidae. The record is from RNAcentral.